UGGGGAAUAUUGGGCAAUGGGCGAAAGCCUGACCCAGCAACGCCGCGUGAGGGAAGAAGGUUUUCGGAUUGUAAACCUCUGUCCUUGGUGACGAAGGAAGUGACGGUAGCCAAGGAGGAAGCCCCGGCUAACUACGUGCCAGCAGCCGCGGUAAUACGUAGGGGGCAAGCGUUGUCCGGAAUGACUGGGCGUAAAGGGCGUGUAGGCGGCCUGAUAAGUGUGAAGUGAAAGUCCUGCUUUUAAGGUGGGAAUUGCUUUGCAGACUGUCGGGCUUGAGUGCGGAAGAGGUAAGUGGAAUUCCCAGUGUAGCGGUGAAAUGCGUAGAGAUUGGGAGGAACACCAGUGGCGAAGGCGACUUACUGGGCCGUAACUGACGCUGAGGCGCGAAAGCGUGGGGAGCGAACAGGAUUAGAUACCC
RNAcentral lists this ribosomal RNA (418 nucleotides) under uncultured bacterium. Its description in RNAcentral is "bacterial SSU rRNA". It matches the Rfam family "Bacterial small subunit ribosomal RNA", at positions 355 to 787 of the family's 1533-position model. The record is from RNAcentral.